Molecule: long non-coding RNA, 489 nt
Organism: Gallus gallus (chicken)
Lineage: Eukaryota; Metazoa; Chordata; Aves; Galliformes; Phasianidae
Exons: 3
Source: RefSeq, a predicted model, not a curated record
GGAACAUGGUCAGUGGGCAUGGGCUGGGGUUGGACUUCGGGAUCUUAGAGACCAUGCACAGCCCGUGGCUGGGAGUUUCAUCACAGAGAAGCAGUGAGUGUGGAGCAGUGCAGUGGAAGAAGAUGAAGGAAUGAGGCUGGAGAAGACAAUGAAAGGCUUGUUUUACCCUAUUAGGAUCUCAGGUCCUUGCUGCAGUAUAUAGGCAACUUCACUCCCUCCCUGAUGCCGCAGUUAUGGAGCUGUCCUUGCCCAGACCACAGAGAUUGGCAGCAGGGGAAGAAGCUCCUCGAAGCCAACGCAGCAGCUUCCCUCGCUGCCUGAGGAUAGCCCUACGUGCACGCACACCCAGCAGCACAGCAAUGAAAUAAAGAUUAUUCACCAAACAUCGAAAUCUCUAAAGCUGUGGGGCUGAAAAGGCUGAAGAAGCCUUUGAGGAAAGCACAGUGAAUGUAGAGCUCCUUGGCACAGGUCACGUUCCUGUUCUCUUGC